UUAAAAGGUAAAUAAAUUUAUUUGAGUAGUAUUAGUUAUAUUCUUGAAACUAAAAAAAUUUGGCGGUAUUUUAGUCUAUUCAGAGGAACUUGUUUUUUAAUCGAUAAUCCACGAUGUACCUUACUUAAAAUUGUUAAUCAAUCUAUAUAUCGUUGUUAUUAGAAUAUUUUAUAAGAAUAAUAAUUUUCUAUAAUUUAAAUUAAAAUUAAUAUCAAAUCAAGGUGUAGUUUAUUUUUAAGAAUAAAUGAGUUACAAUAAAAUAUAUUUUUGGAUUUAAAUAUGAAAAAUUUAAUUAAAUUGGAUUUGAUAGUAAAAUUAUAAAGAUAAAUAAUUUGAUUUAAGCUCUAAAAUAUGU
Molecule: ribosomal RNA, 355 nt
Filed under: Ocyptamus obliquus
Lineage: Eukaryota; Metazoa; Arthropoda; Insecta; Diptera; Syrphidae
Description: partial 12S ribosomal RNA
Source: RNAcentral